This is a long non-coding RNA of Parasteatoda tepidariorum (common house spider), 570 nucleotides long. Lineage: Eukaryota; Metazoa; Arthropoda; Arachnida; Araneae; Theridiidae. The record is from RefSeq and is a predicted model, not a curated record.
UGCCACAACGCGGAAGAAAGUUUUCGUCGCAAAUACUCUCUCAAACAAACAAACAACAAACCUAGAGUAAGUCAAGUUUUAAUAGCUGAAAAGAGUAAGCCAAGUAAGCUGAAACAAGUAAGCCAAGUUUCAAUUGCUGAAAAGAAAAUUUUCAAAUAUACAAAUGAAAAUAAAUUAUGAGAUGAUAAUUUAUGAUUACGCAACGCAGAAAUUCCAUACGGUAGAAUGGUAGAAAUCACAUAAAUCUCGGUGCGCUGCCGCGAAGCGUCAUUAACCGAUUCAUCUGUAUUAAUAAAUCGAUGAUGAGGAGUAGUGAGGAGGAAUGGAGAUGGGAAGAAGAGAGAAAUUCCAUACCUGACAACUCAUUUGGCAGCUCAUUCCCACCACAAGUAGUACCCUGAUCUUGCUGAGAUGACCAAGGCUGUAUACAAGAUAUGUGCAGCAACGAGGAAGAAGUGGCUAGUAAGCUACUGCUCAGCCUUCCUCUAGGAAGUCGUUCAGAAUAAAUACCAAAAGGAGAAACUGAUCUCAUACAAUAAACUAUUAAAUGUAUGUAUUUGUUGAUGGCAA